Molecule: ribosomal RNA, 963 nt
Filed under: uncultured bacterium
Lineage: Bacteria
Description: bacterial SSU rRNA
Rfam family: Bacterial small subunit ribosomal RNA
Source: RNAcentral
AGUCGAACGGCAGCGCGGGGCAACCUGGCGGCGAGUGGCGAACGGGUGAGUAAUAUAUCGGAACGUACCCAAGAGUGGGGGAUAACGUAGCGAAAGUUACGCUAAUACCGCAUACGAUCCAAGGAUGAAAGCAGGGGACCGCAAGGCCUUGUGCUCCUGGAGCGGCCGAUAUCUGAUUAGCUAGUUGGUGAGGUAAAGGCUCACCAAGGCGACGAUCAGUAGCUGGUCUGAGAGGACGACCAGCCACACUGGAACUGAGACACGGUCCAGACUCCUACGGGAGGCAGCAGUGGGGAAUUUUGGACAAUGGGCGCAAGCCUGAUCCAGCAAUGCCGCGUGAGUGAAGAAGGCCUUCGGGUUGUAAAGCUCUUUUGUCAGGGAAGAAACGGCUGUGGCUAAUAUCCACGGUUAAUGACGGUACCUGAAGAAUAAGCACCGGCUAACUACGUGCCAGCAGCCGCGGUAAUACGUAGGGUGCAAGCGUUAAUCGGAAUUACUGGGCGUAAAGCGUGCGCAGGCGGUUUUGUAAGUCUGUCGUGAAAGCCCCGGGCUCAACCUGGGAAUUGCGAUGGAGACUGCAAGGCUUGAAUCUGGCAGAGGGGGGUAGAAUUCCACGUGUAGCAGUGAAAUGCGUAGAGAUGUGGAGGAACACCGAUGGCGAAGGCAGCCCCCUGGGUCAAGAUUGACGCUCAUGCACGAAAGCGUGGGGAGCAAACAGGAUUAGAUACCCUGGUAGUCCACGCCCUAAACGAUGUCUACUAGUUGUCGGGUUUUAAUUAACUUGGUAACGCAGCUAACGCGUGAAGUAGACCGCCUGGGGAGUACGGUCGCAAGAUUAAAACUCAAAGGAAUUGACGGGGACCCGCACAAGCGGUGGAUGAUGUGGAUUAAUUCGAUGCAACGCGAAAAACCUUACCUACCCUUGACAUGUCAGGAAUCCUGGAGAGAUCUGGGAGUGCCCGA